Molecule: long non-coding RNA, 2098 nt
Filed under: Homo sapiens (human)
Lineage: Eukaryota; Metazoa; Chordata; Mammalia; Primates; Hominidae
Description: HSALNT0169774
Source: RNAcentral
GGAUAUGGGAAUGAAGAGAACAAAAAAAUCUCAGCCCUCAUGGAGCUUGCAUUCAGUGGGGCCAACAGAUAAUAGGCAAGCUAAGGGAACAGAAUGAGUUAGAAAGAGUAGAAUUAAGGAGAAAAAAAUAAAAGAGCAAGGGAAGAGGGUGUGUAUUGAACUUUUAGGGACAGUGGACCUCACCAGGAAACCUCACCAGUAAGAGGGUCAUUUGAGCCCCUCACCCGAAGGGAAGAAGGUGUGAGUGCACCUCGGGAAAGAGCUGGUACAAGUGUCUGCAGACAGGACUGGCCUGGAGGAACUUACUCAACAGUGGGAAACAGUCUGCUCUUCCUGCAGACACACACCCAGAGAGGCAACCCAUUUUCUACUUGGCAUCAUUCUUAGAUAGGUCAAGGUCAUGCUGAUGGUGAGAAGAUCCCAUGGAGUGUCAAUACACUGGGAGCUGUGCCUCUGUAUGGGCCAGGCACUGGGAAUGACUGAAGAGGCCCACACUGAAAUCACUUCUAGAUGGUGCUUGAUACCCGGACUGUGUAAGCAGAUUUGAUGAGGUACCCUGCAGUGAGGUCCCUGAAGUCAAGGAUCCUGCCUUGUGUUUCUGUGCCUGCUCCGAAACUGCUCCCCAGGAUCUGGCCUCUAGAGGGUACACAAUACACAUGAAGAAAAUGUGAAUGUGCUCCUUGGUGGCUCUCUGACAGAAUCCCUAAAGGAUGCUCACUAUAGGAAAAGGAAAAAGAAAUCUCAAACCAAAAGAAAUAUUUUACAUCAAGUGUACAAGGCUGGAGAGACAGAAAACCCCUUAACUUGGCAAACUACAAUAUCUCAGAGGCUGCAUGGUCUUCUUAAAAAUGAGGAAACCUUAAAAGAUAAAUCAGAUCAUAUUCCUAUCUUGCCUGAGAAGCUUCAAUGAUGUCCCGCUGCUCUGCAGAUAAGAAUCCACGUUCCUGCUCUGGCCAACUGGGCUUUGCUGGCUCUGGUUCCUCCAUUUCUACCCAGCAUCACUUCCCUCCAGCCCCCCACAGCCCCAAGGCUCCUGGCAGCAAGGUGUCCCCACAGCGCCCACAGGCCCAUGGUCCCCUGCACCUGAACUCCCUUCCUUCCAUGCUUUGCAGGCUCUCCAUCCCUGUCUUCCUUUUGGCCUCCCCCAAACCCCCACUUAAAGUGGGCUCCCUCACCCCAUGUUUCCUCUCUUUGUCCUCUUCCUUUGCUUCCUUCACAGCACUCCUUCCAACCUGCAAUUUAUUACUUUUAUUUUUUUAUUUUAAAAAUAGAGACAGGGUCUUGCUAUGUUGCCCAUGCUGGUCUUGAACUCCUGGCCUCAAGCAAUCCUCCUGCCUUGGCCUCCCAAAGUGCUGAGAUUACAGGUGUGAACCACCACACCUGGCCCAAACUGCAAGUUUUAAAUUUUCCAUUUUUCAACUCUUUUCACCACUAGAACACCAGUUCCAAGAGGGCAAGAAACAGGCUUGUCCUGUUCACAGCUGUGUCCCUAACACCUAUCAGUGUGUAACAGUGGCAGGGGCUCGGUGAAUAUGACUUGCAGAUUCACCUACCCCACCCGAGGAGAUGGCCCUAUUCCUCCAACUCUCAUUUAACAGAAACUUUCUGCAAAAAAAAAAAAAAAAAGGAAUCUGUAAGAGUCAUUUUUUGAAUGUUAAUAUUGCCUUUUUUCCUACUCUAGGAAGUGACAUUUACUAUUACGCUAAAUAUUCUUUGCUAUGAGUGUUCAAGUCAUUCACAAUUUUCUUACUCCUAUAAAUGCAGCAUACGUAGCCCUCACCUCCCUAAGACCAAGGGCUCCAAGCUCAUUAAUGGAUAAACUCAACUGAGUUAAACUCCCACAUGAAUCCCCAGAUACUGCUUUUGCCAAAGAGUCAUUUCCAGGACAGGUCUUAAAUGUUUAGAGACAUAAAACACACACUCUUACACACACUUAAAGCCUUGCAGUAAUUAAUGAUACAAUCCAUAAGGAACCCCCUCCAACCAUCCCUGCAAUGUGCAACUGAAGUCACACAAGUCUUAAGUUGAAAUAGGACUCUAUCCUUGUAUUUACAGGCCUCAGGUCCCAUUUGUCAGUGACAGCAAUUGGUUAAUGUUU